GAACGCUGGCGGCGUGCUUCACACAUGCAAGUCGAACGAACCUUCGGGUUAGUGGCGGACGGGUGAGUAACGCGUGAGCAUCUGCCCUCAGGAGGGGGAUAACGGUUGGAAACGACCGCUAAUACCCCAUAUGCCGAGAGGUGAAAAGAAAUUCGCCUGAGGAUGAGCUCGCGUCUGAUUAGCUAGUUGGUGUGGUAAUGGCGCACCAAGGCUUCGAUCAGUAGCUGGUCUGAGAGGAUGAUCAGCCACACUGGGACUGAGACACGGCCCAGACUCCUACGGGAGGCAGCAGUGGGG
This 297-nucleotide ribosomal RNA is filed under the name uncultured bacterium. Its description in RNAcentral is "partial 16S ribosomal RNA". It matches the Rfam family "Bacterial small subunit ribosomal RNA", at positions 31 to 359 of the family's 1533-position model. The record is from RNAcentral.